This 490-nucleotide long non-coding RNA is filed under the name Homo sapiens (human). RNAcentral describes it as "non-protein coding lnc-MYLK4-20:1". Lineage: Eukaryota; Metazoa; Chordata; Mammalia; Primates; Hominidae. The record is from RNAcentral.
AUGUAGAAACAAUAAAGAUGGAAGGGGCACCCUUAGAGAAGUUUGUACCUCCUCAGUGUAGGGGCAUGAAAUGACACCCACAAAGAAGAGCCAUGGUAUUGUCUUGCUUUCUGCCUCAGUAUUGGCUAACUUUCACUUUAAAGGAAUUUUUAAAAUUGGUAGGACAUAAUAAAUGCUUCAAUGAAGGCACCUUAGUCAUCCAGCCAUUUGUUCGCUUAUUUAAGCAGUACUUAUUGACUGCCUGCUGUGUGAAUCCGGUUGUUUCACUAGGCAUUGAAGGUACAAGAGGAAUGUUGUUCCCAUGGAAUUAAUACCAGUAUAUAUAUACGAUUUAGUGGAGUGGGAUGUUGCCGAAAUGGAAGUCUGUGUAACUUGUGAUGGGAGCAAGGAGGUAAGAGCAGCCAGAGGAAUUAUCAGAGGAGGAUUGGCUUGGGCUGGGUUUUUUUCAGGCAGGCUAGCUGGGGGCAGGCAUUUUAGGAAGAAGCUGCAU